ACAUAGUUUGACUCUAGCUAUUAAAUUUUCUCAUUCAACUAAAUAUACAUGCAAGACAACACCCCCCCGUGAGUAACCACCCCCAACUCUAAAAGAACCUCAAUUUAAUUUAAGGACCUCCUAUCAUUCUUAGAACACCACGCCCGCAGUAAAAAACCCUGAAGAAAUUAUUAAAGUAAGACUCGGAGAUUGAAUAAAGAGUUGAUAAAAUUCGUGCCAGCAAUCGCGGUUAAACGACAGACUCAAGAAAAUUAUAUUCAGAUAAUAUAAUGAUAUUAAUCAAUAAAUAUAGUGGUUCAAUAAGAGUAUUUAAACACCCUCUCCACCAUAUCAACCACCCAUAUGAAAGCCAAAACCAAAACAAGGAUCUGAUACCCUUUUAUUCUUGGCCAUAAACAAAAUUCUGGGAACUACGAACACAUGUUUAAAACUUAAAGACCUUGGCGGUAUCUUACCCUAUUAGGGGAGCCUGUCCCUUAAUCCGAUAAUCCACGUUUAUUCCUACUACAGCUAGAACUCAGCCUGUGUACUGCCGUCGAGGAGCUUACCCCGCAAGGGAAGUAAGCAAUACAGCCCUACCAAUGACGUCAGGUCGAAGUGCAGCCUAUGCAGUAGAGAAGAUGGGCUACAUUAAAUAAAUAAUGGACUAAAACAUAAAAUACUUUAUAAAAUAGGACUUAAUAGUAAAAGAAAAUUAAAAUAUUUCUUAGAAUUAGGUAAUCUGAGAUGUGCACACAUCGCCCGUCGCCCUCGCCGAAAGGGGAGGUAAGUCGUAACAUAGUAAGUGUAACGGAAGUUGCACUUAUCAAGCU
This 812-nucleotide ribosomal RNA is filed under the name Sirsoe methanicola. RNAcentral describes it as "12S ribosomal RNA". Lineage: Eukaryota; Metazoa; Annelida; Polychaeta; Phyllodocida; Hesionidae. The record is from RNAcentral.